GAUGAACACUGGCGGCGUGCUUAACACAUGCAAGUCGAACGGUGAAGGCGGAGCUUGCUCUGCUGGAUCAGUGGCGAACGGGUGAGUAACACGUGAGCAAUCUGCCCCUGACUCUGGGAUAAGCGCUGGAAACGGCGUCUAAUACUGGAUACGAGCUGCGAAGGCAUCUUCAGCAGCUGGAAAGAAUUUCGGUCAGGGAUGAGCUCGCGGCCUAUCAGCUUGUUGGUGAGGUAAUGGCUCACCAAGGCGUCGACGGGUAGCCGGCCUGAGAGGGUGACCGGCCACACUGGGACUGAGACACGGCCCAGACUCCUACGGGAGGCAGCAGUGGGGAAUAUUGCACAAUGGGCGAAGGCCUGAUGCAGCAACGCCGCGUGAGGGACGACGGCCUUCGGGUUGUAAACCUCUUUUAGCAGGGAAGAAGCGAAAGUGACGGUACCUGCAGAAAAAGCGCCGGCUAACUACGUG
This 468-nucleotide ribosomal RNA is filed under the name uncultured bacterium. Its description in RNAcentral is "partial 16S ribosomal RNA". It matches the Rfam family "Bacterial small subunit ribosomal RNA", at positions 28 to 507 of the family's 1533-position model. The record is from RNAcentral.